AAUGUGAGUGGAGUUCAGAGGUGCGCUCUUCAGAUUAGAAGCUACAUGGCCAGGGGUCGUAGGCUCUGCCAACCAAAGCCCAAGGCUCAAACCAAGGCAGAGGCCUCAGCUCCAGCUCAGGCUCCCAAAGGUGCCCAGGCCCCUGUGAAGGCCCCAUAGAAAAGGUUUCUGUCUGCCAGACAGAUGGACUGGUGUGACACACCUACACACUAUUUGCAGAUGAUCAGGACUGCU
Molecule: non-coding RNA, 234 nt
Organism: Peromyscus maniculatus bairdii (prairie deer mouse)
Lineage: Eukaryota; Metazoa; Chordata; Mammalia; Rodentia; Cricetidae
Source: RefSeq, a predicted model, not a curated record